Molecule: ribosomal RNA, 400 nt
Filed under: Proasellus chauvini
Lineage: Eukaryota; Metazoa; Arthropoda; Malacostraca; Isopoda; Asellidae
Description: partial 16S ribosomal RNA
Rfam family: Bacterial large subunit ribosomal RNA
Source: RNAcentral
GUAUUUUGACUGUGCAAAGGUAGCAUAAUCAUUUGUCUUUUAAUUGAAGGCUGGAAUGAAGGAGGCGACGAAAUUUAGGCUAUUGGUUUGUAAAAUAAAAUUAACAUAAUGGUUAAAAGGCCUUUAUAAACUAAAGGGACGAUAAGACCCUAUAAAACUUUACUAUAAAAGGGGGUUUACUAGAUAAAAUUUAAAUUUAUAGUUUAGCUGGGGCGGUUUAUAUAAAAACAAUUGUAGUGUAAAUAUUUUAAAUAAAGUUUGAGAUCUCUAAUAGGAAAUAAAUAAGUUACUUUAGGGAUAACAGCAUAAUUUUCCCAGAGAGUCCUAAUUGGCGGGGGAGUUUAUGACCUCGAUGUUGAAUUGGGGGGUCUAGUGUGAGUAGAAACAUAUUAAGAUAGUC